GAUGAACGCUGGCGGCGUGCCUAAUACAUGCAAGUCGAGCGAACAGACGAGGAGCUUGCUCCUCUGACGUUAUCGGCGGACGGGAGAGUAACACGUGGAUAACCUACCUAUAAGACUGGGAUAACUUCGGGAAACCGGAGCUAAUACCGGAAAAUAUAUUGAACCGCAUGGUUCAAUAGUGAAAGACGGUUUUGCUGUCACUUAUAGAUGGAUCCGCGCCGCAUUAGCUAGUUGGUAAGGUAACGGCUUACCAAGGCAACGAUGCGUAGCCGACCUGAGAGGGUGAUCGGCCACACUGGAACUGAGACACGGUCCAGACUCCUGCGGGAGGCAGCAGUAGGGAAUCUUCCGCAAUGGGCGAGAGCCUGACGGAGCAACGCCGCGUGAAUGAUGAAGGUCUUCGGAUCGUAAAACUCUGUUAUUAGGGAAGAACAAAUGUGUAAGUACCUAUGCACGUCUUGACGGUACCUAAUCAGAAAGCCACGGCUAACUACGUG
Molecule: ribosomal RNA, 497 nt
Filed under: uncultured bacterium
Lineage: Bacteria
Description: partial 16S ribosomal RNA
Rfam family: Bacterial small subunit ribosomal RNA
Source: RNAcentral